Long non-coding RNA from Malus domestica (apple), 420 nucleotides. RefSeq lists it as uncharacterized. The record is from RefSeq and is a predicted model, not a curated record. Lineage: Eukaryota; Viridiplantae; Streptophyta; Magnoliopsida; Rosales; Rosaceae.
GAAUGUUGUCGAACUAUCUUUUAACUACAAAAUUUUACGAGUUUAUGACUUUUCUUCUAUUUCCUUGUAAAUACAGACUAGGGUUCAUAACAAAACAAGGCUGAAGAACAUUAUUCGACAAUCAAAGGCAGAGGAAUCAGUUGUUCGAAGUAGAAUGCAGCCUUUGGAGGUUAUUUUGUGAGAGAUGAUUGAUCAUCUCCACACUGUUAUUGAUCCUACCGUGUUUGUAGAGCUCUGCCGAGAGUUCUGAGACCGGAUGGAGCAGGAUGUAAUGCAUAUCUUGGAAGAUUAGAAAGAGGAGUAGAAAGACUUGCGCGUCGCAUUUUCUGUAAGCUGCUCUUCAUCCGUUGAACUUAACCUGGAUGACAUAUUUGCAUCAGAAAUGCAAAAGACCUCGUGGGAACUCAUUGAAAAAAAGGA